GACGAACGCUGGCGGCGUGCUUAACACAUGCAAGUCGAACGGUAAGGCUCCAGCUUGCUGGGGUACACGAGUGGCGAACGGGUGAGUAACACGUGGGUGACCUGCCCUGCACUUCGGGAUAAGCCUGGGAAACUGGGUCUAAUACCGGAUAGGACCAUGGUGUGGAUACUGUGGUGGAAAGUUUUUUCGGUGUGGGAUGGGCCCGCGGCCUAUCAGCUUGUUGGUGGGGUAAUGGCCUACCAAGGCGGCGACGGGUAGCCGGCCUGAGAGGGUGGACGGCCAAAUGGGAAUUGAGACACGGCCCAGACUCCCACGGGAGGCAGGAGUGGGGAAUAUUGCCCAAGGGGCGGAAGCCUAAUGCAGCGACGCCGGGUGGGGGAUGACGGCCUUCGGGUGGAAACCUCCUUUCCCCAUCGACGAAGGGUUUCGGGCGGGAGAUGGAGAAGAAGCCCCGGCUAACCACGU
RNAcentral lists this ribosomal RNA (465 nucleotides) under uncultured bacterium. RNAcentral's name for it is "partial 16S ribosomal RNA". It matches the Rfam family "Bacterial small subunit ribosomal RNA", at positions 28 to 506 of the family's 1533-position model. The record is from RNAcentral.